UUCCGGUUGAUCCUGCCGGACCCGACUGCUAUCAGAGUAGGACUAAGCCAUGCGAGUUAACGUAGCAAUACGUGGCAUACGGCUCAGUAACACGUAGUCAACAUGCCCAGGGGACGUGGAUAACCUCGGGAAACUGAGGAUAAACCGCGAUAGGUCAUAAUAUCUGGAAUGAUGUAUGGCUUAAAUCUAUAUGGCCCCUGGAUUGGACUGCGGCCGAUCAGGCUGUUGGUGAGGUAAUGGCCCACCAAACCUAAAACCGGUACGGGCUCUGAGAGGAGAAGCCCGGAGAUGGGCACUGAGACAAGGGCCCAGGCCCUAUGGGGCGCAGCAGGCGCGAAAACUCUGCAAUAAGCGAAAGCUUGACAGGGUUAUUCUGAGUGAUUUCCGCUAAGGAAAUCUUUUGGCACCUCUAAAAAUGGUGCAGAAUAAGGGGUGGGCAAGCCUGGUGUCAGCCGCCGCGGUAAUACCAGCACCCCGAGUGGUCGGGACGAUUAUUGGGCCUAAAGCAUCCGUAGCCGGUUCUACAAGUCUUCCGUUAAAUCCACCUGCUUAACAGGUGGGCUGCGGAGGAUACUAUAGAGCUAGGAGGCGGGAGAGGCAAGCGGUACUUAGUGGGUAGGGGUAAAAUCCG
This 631-nucleotide ribosomal RNA is filed under the name uncultured archaeon. RNAcentral's name for it is "bacterial SSU rRNA". It matches the Rfam family "Archaeal small subunit ribosomal RNA", at positions 1 to 641 of the family's 1478-position model. The record is from RNAcentral.